GACAGGAGAAUGAAAUGAGAUUCCUUGGAUUCUGUCUACCAGGUCAAUUACCUUUGAUUAUUUGAAAGAAAGAAGAAAGUGUCAGAGGAAACUAGAUCAAAAAUCACGGCAAAAGCGUGUCUGAAUGGAAAGGGCAUCUCUGUAAUUUGAGAAGACAGGCUUGAGAAAAUGGAGAAGCCUGAACAACGAAAUUGAAAACUGGGAAGAAAAUUGAUAUGAUUU
Molecule: non-coding RNA, 222 nt
Organism: Caenorhabditis elegans
Lineage: Eukaryota; Metazoa; Nematoda; Chromadorea; Rhabditida; Rhabditidae
Source: Ensembl